CAUACGACCGUACCGCAAACCGACACUGGUGCGCGAGAUGAGUAUUCUAAGGCGCUUGAGAGAACUCAGGAGAAGGAGCUCGGCAAAUUGACACCGUAACUUCGGAAGAAGGUGUGCCCUAUUAGUGUGUAGUGAACAACGAAGCAUGAAUGGGUUGCAAAAAAUCGGUGGCUGCGACUGUUUAUUAAAAACACAGCACUCUGCAAACACGAAAGUGGACGUAUAGGGUGUGACGCCUGCCCGGUGCUGGAAGAUUAAAUGAUGGGGUGCAAGCUCUUGAUUGAAGUCCCAGUAAACGGCGGCCGUAACGAUAACGGUCCUAAGGUAGCGAAAUUCCUUGUCGGGUAAGUUCCGACCUGCACGAAUGGCGUAACGAUGGCCACACUGUCUCCUCCUGAGACUCAGCGAAGUUGAAAUGUUUGUGAUGAUGCAAUCUCCCCGCGGAAAGACGGAAAGACCCCAUGAACCUUUACUGUAGCUUUGUAUUGGACUUUGAACAGAUCUGUGUAGGAUAGGUGGGAGGCUUUGAAGCAGGGUCGCUAGAUCUUGUGGAGCCAACGUUGAAAUACCACCCUGGUGUGUUUGAGGUUCUAACCUAGGUCCAUUAUCUGGAUCGGGGACAGUGCAUGGUAGGCAGUUUGACUGGGGCGGUCUCCUCCCAAAGCGUAACGGAGGAGUUCGAAGGUACGCUAGUUACGGUCGGACAUCGUGACGAUAGUGCAAUGGCAUAAGCGUGCUUAACUGCGAGACUGACAAGUCGAGCAGAUGCGAAAGCAGGACAUAGUGAUCCGGUGGUUCUGUAUGGAAGGGCCAUCGCUCAACGGAUAAAAGGUACUCUGGGGAUAACAGGCUGAUACCGCCCAAGAGUUCAUAUCGACGGCGGUGUUUGGCACCUCGAUGUCGGCUCAUCUCAUCCUGGGGCUGUAGCCGGUCCCAAGGGUAUGGCUGUUCACCAUUUAAAGAGGUACGUGAGCUGGGUUUAAAACGUCGUGAGACAGUUUGGUCCCUAUCUUCCGUGGGCGCUGCAGAUUUGAGGAAGCCUGCUCCUAGUACGAGAGGACCGGAGUGGACACACCUCUGGUGUAUCGGUUGUCACGCCAGUGGCAUUGCCGAGUAGCUAAGUGUGGAAGAGAUAACCGCUGAAAGCAUCUAAGCGGGAAACUCGUUUCAAGAUGAGAUCUGCCGGGGCCUUGAGCCCCCUAAAGAGUCGUUCAAGACCAGGACGUUGAUAGGUCAGGUGUGGAAGC
Molecule: ribosomal RNA, 1247 nt
Filed under: metagenome
Description: bacterial LSU rRNA
Rfam family: Bacterial large subunit ribosomal RNA
Source: RNAcentral